Magnolia sinica is the source of this 1801-nucleotide long non-coding RNA. RefSeq lists it as uncharacterized. Lineage: Eukaryota; Viridiplantae; Streptophyta; Magnoliopsida; Magnoliales; Magnoliaceae. The transcript is spliced from 3 exons. The record is from RefSeq and is a predicted model, not a curated record.
UCAUAAAAAAUAGCAACAUGUGGGAUGUAUUGCAGCAUGUUGUCAAUGAGUGUCAUUUAUGAGAAGCUUUCACCUUUAAUUACCUAUGUGAUGUGUGUGUGACAUCAAACCUGUCAAAAAGGUUUAUCCCAUAUGUUGGCAGCUGCCCUAGAUAUCAGGUCAAUCCAUCCAUCUGAUGGGAUGCACCAUAGAAAAUAUUACAGAAUCACCCAAAAACCUCCAAAGUGAAGUUUUGGGGCCCACCAGAUGAUUGAAUUGGUCUGAUUUUUUGGGGUGUCUCAUCAUGAGGUGGGGUACUGCACCUGUUGGACUUGGAUGGGUUGGAGGUCAUACACAUGCAAUGUGUGGCCCAUCACUUGACUUUGGGGGUAUGUGGGUGGCUGUACAUUGUUUACAGUGUGACCCACCUCAUCAGGAUGGCCCUACAUGGGCAUCGUAAAAAAAAAAGAAAAGAAAAAAAGAAAAAAAAAAAGAAAAAGAAAAGAAAGAAAAGAAAAAAUCCUUCUCAAGCAGGUUGAUGUUUAUGAUGUUACUGACAAGACAGCUGCAGGUGUAUGAAAGGAUUUAUCUACUGCCUUGUUGCAUGGUGCACUCAUAGCACGCCAGGUACUGUAAUUUAGGAUUAUUAGCUUCACCUGUUGUGUUUCUUGAUGAGUGUUAUAUAUUGGAUACUCAUUAACUAAUAUGCGAUCUUAUUUUUCAGUUACUUCAUGUGUGGAACCAUUCAAAUGAUUUACAUGCAGCCAUUUAUCAUUCUUGUGGAUAAAUUGAUAUCAUUAAGCAUUCAGUUUUUAAAUCAUUGUUUGCUGGUUGUACAGAUGUACACUGAUGAAGUAGCGUGAGAAGUUCUUGUCAUUCUUCUUCCCACCCCCCCUCUCUCUAGAAGGUAGAAGACGACCUGCUAAAAUGAAUGUUGCAUGUGUCCAUACCAAGCUUAUGAAAAAUGGACUAGUGGUCUAUGUAUGGAGUUGACCCGACUAGGAGGGAUUUGACACUAAAGAAGUUGGCCAUGAGAAUUCUUGGCCUCGCGUGUUCUUCAAGCGGUUGUGAGCGCAACUGGACUACAUUCGAGUCGAUUCACACGAAAAAAGAAGAAGAGGAAUUGUCUUGAUCAAAAGAAAUUCAAUGACCCGGUCUUCGUUCAAUAUCACCAGAAGCUGCAGGAAAGAUUUUAGUCUAGGCGAGAAAAGCUUGGAUUCUAUGAUCCUAUCAGCCUAUAUGAUUUGGAGGUAGAAAGCGAGUGGCUUGUGGAGACAGAUGAUCCAAUAUUUGCUGGUGAGUCCCUUAAACGGGCCUAAGUCGAAGACGCCACUUAUGGAUUGACAUCUGGUGAAUGUUCUCAAUGGCAGAGAAGAGGGGUGUGUAGUAGCAUGAGGGCUACUAGCUGUCAAGGAGAGGAAGAUGAUAUUGAGAUUGAAGAAGUACAAGACCAUUAGAUAUGGAUGGGCAAUUUGUAUAUACAGAUAAUGAAGAAAGAGAAGAAGAUGAAGUGUACGUUGAAGAAGGAGAUGAAUCUGACGACGACGACGAUGAUGGUGGUGAUGUGCCACAAUGGGAGAGGGAACAUUGUAUAUGGUAAAUUAGUAGUUUCUAGAUUUUGUUUACCAAUAAAAUUAUUAUAUUUUUAUUAAUAAGUUGUUGAGUGAUUAAUUUUUGGUUUUUUACUUCUUCUAGUUAAUGGUUUAUUUACUUAUUAGUUAUUAUAACUUAGGUGGCAUAGUAAUAGUACAAAUUAGAUUGAAAAUUGAAAUAGAUAAACAAAACCAAACUGGAGUAGUUAAAGUUUGUAUGGGGAAAAAAA